Molecule: microRNA precursor, 93 nt
Filed under: Jaculus jaculus (lesser Egyptian jerboa)
Lineage: Eukaryota; Metazoa; Chordata; Mammalia; Rodentia; Dipodidae
Description: miRNA (ENSJJAG00000006703.1)
Source: RNAcentral
UGUCUUGUUCUUUGAGAUUUCUACUACAUUUUGUCAAAAGAAUAACAACCUGGCCUGUAAUUCCAGCUACUUGGGAGGCUGAGGCAGGAGGAU